ACCAUUUUGCUGGAGAUACCUAUGUUGGUCCUCCCAAGGGUACUAAUUGGUUUGAAAAACAGUCCGAAGGAACAAUUAACAUCAACUGCUAUCCGUGGAUGGAUUGGUUUUACGGAGGCCUGCAGUUUCAGCUGGAGCAUCAUUUGUUUCCACGUCUACCUCGGAGACAAUUAAGAAGCGUUUCUCCUCUUGUGAAAGAGCUUUGCAAGAAGCACAAUUUGCCUUACAGGAGCUUGUCAUUCAUUGAGGCUAAUGUGACAACUCUGAAGACACUGAAGACUGCUGCAAUGCAGGCCAGGGGAUUACUAUGGGAAGCUGUCAAUACUCAUGGAUGAGAAUUUCGAAAGCCUGUUUGCCAAAUUAAUAUCGAGAUAUUAUUUGGUUUGGUGAGAAAUCAAGGAGAGGAUCAGGACAUUCAUCUGCUUUUUAAUAGUAUUUUCAUAUUAUGUACUUAUAAGUUGAUAGUGCCCAUUACUCCAUUAGAAAUAUUUAUGGGGCAUCCAGACCUUAAAGCUAGAUCUUUAUAUGAAGUAUAAUCACCUAUGAUUUUGAUUUAUACAGUGUUCAUUAUUUAUAAAAGAAUUUUAAUACUUAAUGUGUUAGGUGUGCAUUUUUGACAACUAAGAAUCAAGAAUUACUUCUAAUAAAAAAAUUGUGCUUCUCUCAUUUUUUACCAGCUUGUGAAAAAAUCAGAAACAGUUGAAGUUGGAAAAUUAAGAAAUCUAAUUUGUGGUGGAAGUUCUACUUUUUACUAAAAUCUGACAGAGUUUCUCAAUCAUUGUUUGAUUUUUAAAGUGUCUAAUCUAAUUCUUUACAUUUCAAAAUUUACUUAAAAGUAGUCCAUGAGUUCCACUAUUUCUAUACUUUUCUUCUUUUUUCACAUUAUUUAUAUAUUAUUUAAAUAUUAUUUAUAUAAUAUUUCCUCUGAAAUAUCAUGUGCACAAAUUUGUAAACGACCCAUCAAUUCUCGAACAAGCAAAACCGAGUCCACGUCGCCUAUAAGGAUGUGGCCCCACCUGCACAAUACAUACACAUAUCUGUACGUCGGCAUAGAUAUUUUUAGAAAGAUAGCAAAAGCUGUCAGCCUGUACAGUAGAUACUCUCUAUCUAGUACACACACUACAUUAACAUACACAUGCAUUUCAGUGAACCAUUCCUUUCUUUCACUCACAUUUCUUAAUCUCGGACCUUUCAAGUUUCAACAUAGUUUAACACUUAAUUUCAGCAGGCUCUAUCAUUCUUCUCCCCUUCAAGAACUCAUUUAUCCCUCUCUUUGUCUUCUUAUAUUUGAACAACCCAAUUUCUCAGAUCCUUGCUUGUACAAUUUGUGGAUGCAUUGAAAACACAGAUUUUGUUCAAUGACCAUCUCUCCUCCCUCUACUCUCCUUGAAGGUAAUGCAUAUGUUUCUUAUAUUUUCUUUGUUUGAAGUCGGAGGUUUUUACGAAACUAUACAUUUUUUAAGCAGAAUUGAUUAUACGUACAUUUUACCGUCCUCAGACCCUCGUGAUACUAUAUGUUUGGUGGGUUAUGAAUAUAUGGUUAUUUGUAAAUGGGUUGCGGAGUUUCUUGUUUUGGUAAAAAUGUAUACAUGACUAUACUAGUUUACUUGAGUAAUGCUAAUACAUAUUUAGAAUGUUAAAGCUUGGAUCUUUGUGUCAUUGUGUGUAUAUUUAUUUAUAGUCUUGAUUGAGAUCUGAAAGGAAUGAGAUGGGGUAAGGUUAAUUUUAUUAUAGUAGAUAAUUAAUAACUUAGACAGAUCUGUAUCAUGUUUUUUGUGAAAAUUAAGUUUUGUAAGUAUAAUUUCACAGUUACAAUGAGAUUUCUAUUUUGUUUGCUUCAGUAGCUAAUCACGUUAAUUUCUGAUUUUCUAUCGAUAAUUUGAGUAUAAUUAGCUUGAUAAGGACAAAGUGGUUGACUGUUUCUCAUUAGUAGUGCACCCAGAAGAAAGAUUGUGGUAUUUGUGGUUGAUAAUUUUUUCCUAAUAAAAUAAAAAUAAUAACAUAUAGAAUCAAAGAAUUGAUAUUUUUUUCCCAGUUGCCUAACACUACAAAGAUCUAACAAUCCUGUACACAAGAAAGCAUUUAGAUCACACACAACUAGAUUGUAGAGGAGCAGAGCCAGUGAGGUAUAUCCUUUUAAUGAACUGAGAUACCACUUAUUUAGUAAUGAAGCUGAUAAGUUACAUGUGAAUAUCAUCACAUGGCAGCUGACCCUUUCUCCAACAAUACAGGGCCCUCAUGUCAUCAUGAGUCAUGGGGUUUUUCUUAGCAGCAGUGUCUUGGCCUUUCUGCUGUAUCUUUCCCAGUAUUUUUUUAGUUUUUCGUGGCCUUAUUAGACCCGCCCAUUCAAAUACAGAGUAUAAUGUGACAAGAAAUAUUAUAAAGAACAAAAUUGUAGCGAAUCUAAGUCUAUUGCAUUGCUCUUUUUAUUUUAAAGUAGUGCUGGUCCUCCAAGUGAGUCUAUCAAUAGCUUUUUUUGCGAAAGAUGUCGACUGUUCAAAUUUCGGUAAAAAUGUGUGUAUGAGUGACAGUUUAAGGAACCUACUAUAAUCGUGCUUACCUAGCAAAAGAACAAACAAGGUUUCUGUAUAUUUUAUUCAUCUGUGUGAGUGGUUUGCAAUCCUCAUUUAUAGAAUCUUGCAUGAUAAUCCUCAUAUAUUUUGAUUUCCCAGAAAUGAGCUUAAUGGAUGAUGACAAAAAGUACAUUACAAUAGAGGAGUUGGAGAAGCAUAACAAGCCUGAUGACCUCUGGAUUUCUAUCCAGGGCAAGGUUUACAAUGUCACACAAUGGGCUAAGGUACACCCUGGUGGAGAAGUCGCCCUUUUGAAUAUGGGUGGCCAGGAUGUCACUGAUGCAUUCAUUGCUUUUCAUCCGAGUACUAUUUGGCGACGUCUUGAAACGUUCUUUAAUGGUUAUCAUAUCAAAGAUUACAAGGUUUCUGACGUGUCAAAGGAUUACAGAAAACUUUCGGCUGAGCUGGUGAAAGCUGGGAUGUUUGAGAAUAAAGGCCAUCUUGUUAUCUAUAAUCUGUGUUUUGUUAGUUUGAUGCUUUAUGGAUGUGUGUAUGGCGUACUGAAAUCAGAUAGCUUUGGUGUUCAUAUGUUAUCAGCUGCAUUGUUGGGAUUUUCGUGGAUUCAAGUGGCAUAUUUAGGUCAUGAUUCAGGACAUUAUCAAGCAAUGGCGACUCGCGGAUGGAACAAAAUGGCUGGGAUUCUGAUUGGAAACUGUGUUACGGGUAUUAGCAUUGCUUGGUGGAAGUGGACUCAUAAUGCACACCACAUUGCUUGCAAUAGCCUUGACUAUGACCCUGACCUCCAACACUUGCCAAUGCUGGCAGUCUCAGACACUUUCUUUUGGUCAAUAACAUCAAAGUUUUAUGAGAGGAAAUUGACAUUUGAUCGAGUGGCUAAAUUUUUUAUAAGCUAUCAGCAUCUGACCUACUAUCCAGUGAUGUGUGUUGCAAGGGUCAAUCUAUAUUUGCAGACAUUGUUACUGUUGUGCUCAAAGAGAAAGAUAGCAGAUAGAGGACUUAACAUACUCGGGACAAUUAUUUUCUGGACUUGGUUCCCUCUACUUGUUUCGUGCUUGCCUAAUUGGACAGAAAGAGUCAUGUUUGUGCUGGUAAGCUUCUGCGUGUGUGCAAUCCAACAUGUACAAUUUACCUUGAACCAUUUUGCCGGAGAUACUUAUCUAGGUCCUCCCAAGGGUACUAACUGGUUUGAAAAACAAUCGGGAGGCACAAUCAACAUUUCAUGCUAUCCAUGGAUGGAUUGGUUCUACGGAGGACUACAGUUUCAGCUCGAGCAUCAUUUGUUUCCUCGUCUACCUCGGAGACAAUUAAGGAACGUUUCUCCUCUAGUGAAAGAGCUUUGCAAGAAGCACAACAUGCCUUAUAGGAGCUUGUCGUUCUAUGAGGCUAAUGUGACAACUCUAAAGACACUG
RNAcentral lists this long non-coding RNA (3943 nucleotides) under Daucus carota (carrot). RNAcentral describes it as "long non-coding RNA (DCAR_LNC005129)". Lineage: Eukaryota; Viridiplantae; Streptophyta; Magnoliopsida; Apiales; Apiaceae. The record is from RNAcentral.